RNAcentral lists this unclassified non-coding RNA (266 nucleotides) under Hevea brasiliensis (rubber tree). The record is from RNAcentral. Lineage: Eukaryota; Viridiplantae; Streptophyta; Magnoliopsida; Malpighiales; Euphorbiaceae.
GGAAAAUUUUCAAAAAAUUGAAAAAUUCAAGGCUGAGAUUCAACCCAAUAUAUAUAUAUAUAACAAGACAAUUUGAAAUCAAAAAACACUAAGCAUUUUGUCCCAAAUUUCCCAUUAAAAAAUAUCAUAAUUUGGACAAAGCUCUAAUACUUCCACCCAUUUAAAAUGAAAAAGAAAAAACAGAAUUUGGACACAGCAUUAGCUUAAUAUGUACAUUCCAUUCUGUGUACUCUGUCCCUUAAAAUUCCAUUGUAGAGAGCAAUCCU